CGUACGAUAUGAGUUUGAUCAUGGCUCAGAACGAACGCUGGCGGCAUGCCUAACACAUGCAAGUCGAACGAACCCUUCGGGGUUAGUGGCGCACGGGUGCGUAACGCGUGGGGAUCUGCCCAAAGGUUCGGAAUAACUCAGAGAAAUUUGAGCUAAUACCGGAUAAUGUCUUCGGACCAAAGAUUUAUUGCCUUUGGAUGAACCCGCGUAGGAUUAGCUUGUUGGUGGGGUAAAGGCCUACCAAGGCGACGAUCCUUAGCUGGUCUGAGAGGAUGAUCAGCCACACUGGGACUGAGACACGGCCCAGACUCCUACGGGAGGCAGCAGUGGGGAAUAUUGGACAAUGGGCGAAAGCCUGAUCCAGCAAUGCCGCGUGAGUGAUGAAGGCCUUAGGGUUGUAAAGCUCUUUUACCAGGGAUGAUAAUGACAGUACCUGGAGAAUAAGCUCCGGCUAACUCCGUG
RNAcentral lists this ribosomal RNA (462 nucleotides) under uncultured bacterium. Its description in RNAcentral is "bacterial SSU rRNA". It matches the Rfam family "Bacterial small subunit ribosomal RNA", at positions 1 to 507 of the family's 1533-position model. The record is from RNAcentral.